Molecule: ribosomal RNA, 468 nt
Filed under: uncultured bacterium
Lineage: Bacteria
Description: partial 16S ribosomal RNA
Rfam family: Bacterial small subunit ribosomal RNA
Source: RNAcentral
GACGAACGCUGGCGGCGUGCUUAACACAUGCAAGUCGAACGGAAAGGCCCUGCUUUUGUGGGGUGCUCGAGUGGCGAACGGGUGAGUAACACGUGAGUAACCUGCCCUUGACUUUGGGAUAACUUCAGGAAACUGGGGCUAAUACCGGAUAGGAGCUCCUGCUGCAUGGUGGGGGUUGGAAAGUUUCGGCGGUUGGGGAUGGACUCGCGGCUUAUCAGCUUGUUGGUGGGGUAGGGGCUUACCAAGGCUUUGACGGGUAGCCGGCCUGGGAGGGUGACCGGCCACAUUGGGACUGAGGUACGGCCCAGACUCCUACGGGAGGCAGCAGUGGGGAAUAUUGCACAAUGGGCGGACGCCUGAUGCAGCAACGCCGCGUGCGGGAUGACGGCCUUCGGGUUGUAAACCGCUUUCGCCUGUGACGAAGCGUGAGUGACGGUAAUGGGUAAAGAAGCACCGGCUAACUACGUG